GCCGGAGUGGCGGAAUUUGGUAAACGCGCUCGACUGAAGAUUGAGCAGCACCCCCAAGUGCUAUGCGGGUUCAAACGUCAUAGGCUGGGUGACUGAAUAUCCCGCCUCCGGCG
RNAcentral lists this transfer RNA (113 nucleotides) under Candidatus Woesearchaeota archaeon. RNAcentral's name for it is "tRNA-Phe". It matches the Rfam family "tRNA". From Rfam's summary of the family: Transfer RNA (tRNA) molecules are approximately 80 nucleotides in length. The record is from RNAcentral. Lineage: Archaea; Nanobdellati; Candidatus Woesearchaeota.